Small nucleolar RNA from Toxotes jaculatrix (banded archerfish), 77 nucleotides. RefSeq annotates it as small nucleolar RNA SNORD101. The transcript has a single exon. NCBI's taxonomy places the organism in Eukaryota, Metazoa, Chordata, Actinopteri, Toxotidae. The record is from RefSeq and is a predicted model, not a curated record.
GUUUGAAUGAUGACUUAAAAUUAUUUUGUCGGAUACCCCUUCACUCUAUCAUGAGUGAGAUCCCAAUUCUGACAUGC